UUCUUUCUCUACAUCUGUUUCAGAGAUGAUGGUGUCUACAGUCUGGGAAGCUGCUGUCCCUGAGGUCCUGGGGAUUGAACUCAGGUAGUCAGGAUUGGCAGCAAGUGCCUUUAUAGGCUGAGCCACCACACUGCUCUCCACCCCAAGCCAGUUGUCAUUUACAAUUACAUAAAAAGAUGUUAUGUGAAGGGAUAAGCAGAGAAAAAAAAAGGCAUGCAGAAGUUGCUCAAUGAUGGCAACAGCUGCUAUUACUUUUACUGAAGUUCUUACUGUCACAGCAGGAAAGGAGGAGACAUUACCUCUGGACUGCCACCAUCUUCAUCCUAAGGCAUCCUGUCAUGAACAACCUUGAUCAACAAUCCCAUGAGGACCUCAAGUUUCGGUUAUGUUAGCUUGUAAGUCUGAUGGGACUCCAUUCGUGACAUCCUUAGAUGGCUUCUCCUGGAGCUUAGAUUCCAGAUCUGAUUUUCAACCACUGUGGGAAAUCUUUUAGUUUCCUAAACCUCAUUUUGCCUGUGCUAGAUGAGAGGUGAACUAUGUGUCAAUCAAAUCUAAGAGGUGGAGCCAUUUGCAUCUCUGAAUGACCCCCUCUGGUGGCUCCUCUCUUUCCUUGCACACACUUCUGACUAACACACACCCACUUUCUCUGUUGCUCUUUUUGUAAUUAAUAUCUUGAUGUGGGGACUACACAAGUAGGAAGCCACUGCUUUUUUGUCUUCCU
RNAcentral lists this long non-coding RNA (721 nucleotides) under Mus caroli (Ryukyu mouse). Its description in RNAcentral is "predicted gene 13660 (MGP_CAROLIEiJ_G0005413.1)". The record is from RNAcentral. Lineage: Eukaryota; Metazoa; Chordata; Mammalia; Rodentia; Muridae.